RNAcentral lists this long non-coding RNA (347 nucleotides) under Chloebia gouldiae (Gouldian finch). Its description in RNAcentral is "Erythrura gouldiae (Gouldian finch) lncRNA (ENSEGOG00005012777.1)". Lineage: Eukaryota; Metazoa; Chordata; Aves; Passeriformes; Passeridae. The record is from RNAcentral.
AGUGCUGAUGAAGUUGAAAAAUUCAAGUACAUUCUUCAAAAUAGCAUUUUUUCUCUGGCACUAUAAUUUUAGUUUGGAGUGCAGCAGUAACUGAAUCCCUGGGACUGAUUUGAUACAGAGGGAUCAGCAAGAAGAAAAUCAAGCUCUUGCAUAACAAGGGCAGUUUUUACUCCAUUUUCAUUUUGCUAUGAGGUCAUUGUGAACUGUAAAGAAUUACUGUGUGUGGAGUGGAUUAUUUCCCUGGAAGAGUCUGUACAGAGUUUUCUGAGGGGCAACAAAAGAAGACAAGCCAAAGUGCUCAUGGAUAGCUUCCAAAAACCAUAGCCAGAAGAGGAUCUCUGAUGGAA